AUAUGAGAACAGUGAGCUCCAAGGAGCGGCCUGCCCUUGGCUUCUGUUCCCAGGGCGAGUGUGAAGGCUGAGCUUUUCCGUUCCCUCUUCCAUGGAGCUUGGCUGGUUCCUAUGAACUGCAAGUUAAGGCAACACUGAUUUGCAACUUCACUAGAUAGGAUGGAGGAGGGGGGCUUACAGCCUCAAAACAACCCUGCUUUCCCUAUCACAGGGCCAGAGGGAGUGGAGCUGCUUCUGAAUGCUUGCUCUGAAUUCAGCCUUGCUGAGUGCUACUCAAGGUAGUUGCAGUCUGGCAUCACAUGGCACAUCAUCACUGUCUCUUCUGCAAAUUUCUGAGAAUAAGAAGAAUUGGUUGAAAAAACUUCUAACAUCUCCAUCGGUUUGUAAUCAGUGAAUACAAUUAUGAAGCAAUUUCCUACCUGUUUUUUUAUUUGAUCCAUGAACUUUUCAAGAGAUGUGUGCUAUUGCUGUUGUGGUGACCAUUAGCUCCCAUUUCUCAGAUGAGAAAACUGAGGCUCAGUGAGCCUUAAAUGACUUGCCCAAAACUAUAAGAUGGAAAUCUCUGCCCAU
RNAcentral lists this long non-coding RNA (570 nucleotides) under Pongo abelii (Sumatran orangutan). Its description in RNAcentral is "lincRNA". Lineage: Eukaryota; Metazoa; Chordata; Mammalia; Primates; Hominidae. The record is from RNAcentral.